Molecule: ribosomal RNA, 433 nt
Filed under: uncultured bacterium
Lineage: Bacteria
Description: partial 16S ribosomal RNA
Rfam family: Bacterial small subunit ribosomal RNA
Source: RNAcentral
AACGAACGCUGGCGGCAUGCCUAACGCAUGCAAGUCGAACGAGACCUUCGGGUCUAGUGGCGCACGGGUGCGUAACGCGUGGGAACCUGCCCUUAGGUUCGGAAUAACUCAGAGAAAUUUGAGCUAAUACCGGAUAAUGUCUUCGGACCAAAGAUUUAUCGCCUUUGGAUGGGCCCGCGUAGGAUUAGCUUGUUGGUGGGGUAAUGGCCUACCAAGGCGACGAUCCUUAGCUGGUCUGAGAGGAUGAUCAGCCACACUGGGACUGAGACACGGCCCAGACUCCUACGGGAGGCAGCAGUGGGGAAUAUUGGACAAUGGGCGAAAGCCUGAUCCAGCAAUGCCGCGUGAGUGAUGAAGGCCUUAGGGUUGUAAAGCUCUUUUACCAGGGAUGAUAAUGACAGUACCUGGAGAAUAAGCUCCGGCUAACUCCGUG